RNAcentral lists this ribosomal RNA (160 nucleotides) under uncultured Pediococcus sp. RNAcentral's name for it is "partial 16S ribosomal RNA". It matches the Rfam family "Bacterial small subunit ribosomal RNA", at positions 355 to 507 of the family's 1533-position model. Lineage: Bacteria; Bacillati; Bacillota; Bacilli; Lactobacillales; Lactobacillaceae. The record is from RNAcentral.
UAGGGAAUCUUCCACAAUGGACGCAAGUCUGAUGGAGCAACGCCGCGUGAGUGAAGAAGGGUUUCGGCUCGUAAAGCUCUGUUGUUAAAGAAGAACGUGGGUGAGAGUAACUGUUCACCCAGUGACGGUAUUUAACCAGAAAGCCACGGCUAACUACGUG